Heligmosomoides polygyrus is the source of this 75-nucleotide non-coding RNA. Lineage: Eukaryota; Metazoa; Nematoda; Chromadorea; Rhabditida; Heligmosomidae. The record is from Rfam.
ACGCCGGUGGUGUAAUGGCGUAGAGCAUUCCCGCCCGGUCAGAGGGAGGUGCGGGUUCGAGUCCCGCCUGGCGCU